UUGCGCACAAUUAAGUGUGAACGGUGGAUGCCUUGACACAAAAAGCCGAUGAAGGACGUUGCAGGGUGCGAAAAGUCUCGGUGAGGUCCCAAGCAACCUUUGAUCCGGGAAUGUCCGAAUGGGAAAACCCAUCUUGGUGGAAGACCAAGAUAUCUCUGCCUGAAUACAUAGGGCAGCAGAAGGUAAGCUGGCGAAUUGAAACAUCUUAGUAGCCAGAGGAAAAUAAAGAAAUACACGCACGAUUUUUUAUUAGCCGCGACAUGUGCGGCUAGUAAAAGAAUCGUGUUCUAUUCCGCAAGUAGCGGCGAGCGAACGCGGAGAAGCUAAAACCUUAUUGACUGAAGUUAUGCAAAUUUGCUUUCGGGUAAAGGCGCGUAACGGAAGGCUUUGCGGCCAUAUGUCUUUAGGGGGUUGUGAGAGUAAUAUAUUUUAAACACGCAAAUAUUUAAUAAGUAAAAAACCAAAAAUUAUAAAUAAAAACUUACAAAAAUUCUUAGAUAAAGAUGAUAAAUUUU
RNAcentral lists this ribosomal RNA (515 nucleotides) under Patescibacteria group bacterium. RNAcentral's name for it is "partial 23S ribosomal RNA". It matches the Rfam family "Bacterial large subunit ribosomal RNA", at positions 1 to 387 of the family's 2925-position model. The record is from RNAcentral.